UUUGUUUGCAAGAAAGUGGGGUGGAAGUGGGAAGGGGGAAGUAAUUUUCGGUGAAAACUGACCACUUCUGUUGUUUGGUUCACCGUAAUUUUAUUACGCUCGAAAGUCUAGUUCACCCAAAUUAAUGAAAUUGACUUCCCCCUCCCAUGGGGUGAAGUCAAUUUCGGUGAGGUGAAAAAAGGCAAGAGUGGGACUUGAUGUGUUAGGGUUACCCUCUUCUCUACCCUUUCCUUUCAUCCAAAUAUAUUCAAUUGUGGAAGUAAUUAAAUUUUUUAUUUUGAUUGUAUGUCUAAAAUUUGAUCAAAUUUGAUUAGGUAAGUUUUAAUAUAUUUUUUAUUUAAUUUGUAUAUUUAGAAAAUGAUGAAAAAUGAAUUUGUUAAAUGUUAAUAAUUUUUUAACUUUAGAAUUUUAUUUGUUGCAUUAUUAUAAUUUAUAUGCAAACAAAUAAUAUAAUUUUUUAAAAUUUUAUUUUAUAAUUAUACAUAAAUAUAAUUAUAUACAUAUAUAAUUAUACUAAUUUUUAUUAUUAUAAUUUAUUAUUCAGUAAGUUACAAAAUAGACAAUGAUAUCACUUCGGAGGUAAGUAUACACCGGAGGUUGAGAACUACACUUUUUACGUCAUCUACUUCCUACCAAACAAACAACAGAACUCGCAGAACUGCACUUCCACAGUUAGACACAAACAGCGGAAGUGAAUUAAUUUUCACCCCAACUCCACUUCAACCCAAAGUUCACUUCCACCUCAAGUUUACUUACGUUGAAACAAACAUGAUCUAAGUCAAGGUCUAAUCCUAUAGACUCAAAACACAUCGCUCACAAACCCCAAGCCACUC
This 833-nucleotide long non-coding RNA is filed under the name Ananas comosus (pineapple). Its description in RNAcentral is "long non-coding RNA (ACOM_LNC032593)". Lineage: Eukaryota; Viridiplantae; Streptophyta; Magnoliopsida; Poales; Bromeliaceae. The record is from RNAcentral.